UGGGAGUGUCCACACCAUGAGAUG
Molecule: unclassified non-coding RNA, 24 nt
Filed under: Mus musculus (house mouse)
Lineage: Eukaryota; Metazoa; Chordata; Mammalia; Rodentia; Muridae
Description: oocyte_clustered_small_RNA646
Source: RNAcentral